This is a ribosomal RNA of Cricetulus griseus (Chinese hamster), 119 nucleotides long. NCBI's taxonomy places the organism in Eukaryota, Metazoa, Chordata, Mammalia, Rodentia, Cricetidae. The record is from Ensembl.
GUCUACAACCAUACCACCCUGAAUGUACACGAUCUCCUCUGAUCUAGGAAGCUAAGCAGGGUCGGGCCUGGUUAGUACUUGGAUGGGAGACCAUUUUAAGGGCUAAUCAGUUGUUGGUU